UACAGAGGGGGCAAGCGUUAAUCGGAAUUAUUGGGCGUAAAGCGUGCGCAGGCGGUUCUCCAAGUCCGUUGUGAAAGCCCCGGGCUCAACCUGGGAAUGGCAGUGGAAACUAGGGGACUGGAAUCUGGCAGAGGGGGGUGGAAUGCCGCGUGUAGCAGUGAAAUGCGUAGAGAUGUGGAGGAACACCGAUGGCGAAGGCAGCCUCCUGGGCCAACACUGACGCUCAUGCACGAAAGCGUGGGGAGCAAACAGG
This 253-nucleotide ribosomal RNA is filed under the name uncultured bacterium. Its description in RNAcentral is "partial 16S ribosomal RNA". It matches the Rfam family "Bacterial small subunit ribosomal RNA", at positions 524 to 776 of the family's 1533-position model. The record is from RNAcentral.